UCACCCAUGGGGUCUCACUCUCUCACAUUUGCCCUUUCUAGACACUUGGUGGAUUUUUCUUAAAACUAGAUGCCAGAGCCAGGGUGAGGGUGUGUGCCGAUAAUCCCGGGACUUUGGAGGCUUAGAUUGGAGAGUAGCCAUAGACUCAAGGCCAUCCUGGGUAAUAUAAGGAACAGUAAUCUAGCUUGGUUGCAGUGUGAGAUCUCUCUCUUUAAAAACUGAGAGUGAACAACAGGACUAGUGUCGGUGUGUCCAUCGUGCACAUAGGUUCUUGUUCCUGGGUUCUUGCCCAGCACAAAAUCAAACCAGGUGGAGCUUGCCUGGUAUUGGGGUUGGAGACAAGAGGAUCAGGCAGUCAAGAAAACAAUGACAUGGCAUCCCAUCACAACCGCAUAUUCCUUGUGAAUCUGAAUACCGUUCAAAUGGAGAAAUGAAAACGGAGCAUCCAGAUGUGCAGUGAAUAUUUUGUGUGACUCACAUCAGGAAUUGGCCUGAGCAUUGAGUUCAUCCCUUGUGCACUGCACUGAGGAGCUGUUCGCUCCGUGUCAUUAGUGCACCUGAUUUGCUGCAGUCCCUGCUUCAACUCAGGCCACAACUGGGUUGGUUAGGUGAGUUUCUG
This 619-nucleotide long non-coding RNA is filed under the name Cricetulus griseus (Chinese hamster). RNAcentral's name for it is "lncRNA (ENSCGRG00015032920.1)". Lineage: Eukaryota; Metazoa; Chordata; Mammalia; Rodentia; Cricetidae. The record is from RNAcentral.